Molecule: ribosomal RNA, 468 nt
Filed under: uncultured bacterium
Lineage: Bacteria
Description: partial 16S ribosomal RNA
Rfam family: Bacterial small subunit ribosomal RNA
Source: RNAcentral
GAUGAACGCUGGCGGCGUGCUUAACACAUGCAAGUCGAACGGAAAGGCCAGUGCUUGCACUGGUACUCGAGUGGCGAACGGGUGAGUAACACGUGGGUGAUCUGCCCUGUACUUCGGGAUAAGCUUGGGAAACUGGGUCUAAUACCGGAUAGGACAACUUUUUGGAUAUUGUUGUUGAAAGCUUUUGCGGUAUGGGAUGAGCUCGCGGCCUAUCAGCUUGUUGGUGGGGUAAUGGCCUACCAAGGCGUCGAGGGGUAGCCGGCCUGAGAGGGUGUACGGCCACAUUGGGACUGAGAGACGGCCCAGACUCCUACGGGAGGCAGAAGUGGGGAAUAUUGCACAAUGGGCGCAAGCCUGAGGCAGCGACGCCGCGUGGGGGAUGAAGGCCUUCGGGUUGUAAACUCCUGUCGCUAGGGACGAAGCUUUUUUGUGACGGUACCUGGAGAAGAAGCACCGGCUAACUACGUG